GUGAAUCAUCAAAUUUUUGAACGCAAAUUGCACUCUCUGGGAUGCCGGAGAGUAUGCCUGGUUGAGGGUCAGUUUAAAUAAAAAUCGGGGUGGUUGCUGCCUUUCGUGGUGACGCACCGGAUUUUGGUCGUCUUGCCUUCGUUUAAGGGACCUAAAAUUUUGCAUGGUUUUUUUCGAACUUAUUUAAAUUAUUUUACAUACUUUUGGGAUAUCUAAUUCUUGGUGUGGGCAUCCGCAUUAUUUGC
RNAcentral lists this unclassified non-coding RNA (245 nucleotides) under Glomeromycotina sp. RNAcentral describes it as "partial contains 5.8S ribosomal RNA and internal transcribed spacer 2". The stretch from base 1 to 71 matches the Rfam family "5.8S ribosomal RNA", at positions 84 to 154 of the family's 154-position model. Lineage: Eukaryota; Fungi; Glomeromycota. The record is from RNAcentral.